CAACAGGGAUUGCCCUAGUAACGGCGAGUGAAGCGGCAACAGCUCAAAUUUGAAAUCUGGCUCUCGGGCCCGAGUUGUAAUUUGUAGAGGAUGCUUUUGAUGCGGUGCCUUCCGAGUUCCCUGGAACGGGACGCCAUAGAGGGUGAGAGCCCCGUCUGGUUGGAUGCCAAAUCUCUGUAAAGCUCCUUCGACGAGUCGAGUAGUUUGGGAAUGCUGCUCUAAAUGGGAGGUAUAUGUCUUCUAAAGCUAAAUACCGGCCAGAGACCGAUAGCGCACAAGUAGAGUGAUCGAAAGAUGAAAAGCACUUUGAAAAGAGAGUUAAAAAGUACGUGAAAUUGUUGAAAGGGAAGCGUUUAUGACCAGACUUGGGCUUGGAUAAUCAUCUGGGGUUCUCUCCAGUGCACUUUUCCAGUCCAGGCCAGCAUCAGUUUUCGCCGGGGGAUAAAGGCUUCGGGAAUGUGGCUCUCUCCGGGGAGUGUUAU
RNAcentral lists this ribosomal RNA (482 nucleotides) under Fusarium cf. incarnatum PUF029. RNAcentral describes it as "eukaryotic LSU rRNA". It matches the Rfam family "Eukaryotic large subunit ribosomal RNA", at positions 66 to 559 of the family's 3401-position model. RNAcentral also lists the same sequence under 1 other name. Lineage: Eukaryota; Fungi; Ascomycota; Sordariomycetes; Hypocreales; Nectriaceae. The record is from RNAcentral.